UGAGGAAUAUUGGUCAAUGGGCGAGAGCCUGAACCAGCCAAAUCGCGUGAAGGAAGACUGCCUUAUGGGUUGUAAACUUCUUUUAUACAGGAAUAAAAAACGGGGACGUGUCCCUUAUUGCAUGUACUGUAUGAAUAAGCAUCGGCUAACUCCGUGCCAGCAGCCGCGGUAAUACGGAGGAUGCGAGCGUUAUCCGGAUUUAUUGGGUUUAAAGGGUGCGCAGGCGGGCUUUUAAGUCAGCGGUGAAAUCUCGGGGCUUAACUCCGAAACUGCCGUUGAAACUGGGAGUCUUGAGUAUGGAUGAAGUAGGCGGAAUUCGUUGUGUAGCGGUGACAUGCUUAGAUAUAACGAGGAACUCCGAUUGCGUAGGCAGCUUACUAAGCCAUAACUGACGCUCAAGCACGAAAGCGUGGGGAUCAAACAGGAUUAGAUACCCUGGUAGUCCACGCCGUAAACGAUGAUUACUAGUUGUAUGCGAUAUACCGUAUGUGACUAAGCGAAAGCGAUAAGUAAUCCACCUGGGGAGUACGCCGGCAACGGUGAAACUUAAAUGAAUUGACGGGGUCAUAGCUG
RNAcentral lists this ribosomal RNA (573 nucleotides) under uncultured bacterium. RNAcentral describes it as "partial 16S ribosomal RNA". It matches the Rfam family "Bacterial small subunit ribosomal RNA", at positions 355 to 932 of the family's 1533-position model. The record is from RNAcentral.